RNAcentral lists this ribosomal RNA (482 nucleotides) under uncultured bacterium. RNAcentral's name for it is "partial 16S ribosomal RNA". It matches the Rfam family "Bacterial small subunit ribosomal RNA", at positions 28 to 507 of the family's 1533-position model. The record is from RNAcentral.
GACGAACGCUGGCGGCGUGCUUAACACAUGCAAGUCGAACGCUGAAGCUCAGCUUGCUGGGCGGAUGAGUGGCGAACGGGUGAGUAACACGUGAGUAACCUGCCCUCUUCUUUGGGAUAACGCCCGGAAACGGGUGCUAAUACUGGAUAUUCACUGAUUCUCGCAUGGGGGUUGGUGGAAAGGUUUUUUCUGGUGGGGGAUGGGCUCGCGGCCUAUCAGCUUGUUGGUGGGGUGAUGGCCUACCAAGGCUUUGACGGGUAGCCGGCCUGAGAGGUUGACCGGUUAAAUUGGCAGUGGGCUACGGCCCAGACUCCGACGCGAGGCAGCAGUGGGGAAGAUUGCACAAUGGGCGAAAGCCUGAUGCUGCGACGCAGGGUGAGGGACGGAGGCCUGUGAGUUGUACACCUCUUUCGGUCAUGGUCAAGCCGCAGCGUUGGGUUGUGGUGAGGGUAGUGGGUAAAGAAGCGCCGGCUAACUACGUG